This 459-nucleotide ribosomal RNA is filed under the name uncultured bacterium. RNAcentral's name for it is "partial 16S ribosomal RNA". It matches the Rfam family "Bacterial small subunit ribosomal RNA", at positions 338 to 795 of the family's 1533-position model. The record is from RNAcentral.
CCUACGGGUGGCAGCAGUGAGGAAUAUUGGUCAAUGGGCGCGAGCCUGAACCAGCCAAGUCGCGUGAGGGAAGACGGUCCUAUGGAUUGUAAACCUCUUUUGUCGGGGAGCAAAAGACGCCACGCGUGGCGUUCCGAGAGUACCCGAAGAACAAGCAUCGGCUAACUCCGUGCCAGCAGCCGCGGUAAUACGGAGGAUGCGAGCGUUAUCCGGAUUUAUUGGGUUUAAAGGGUGCGCAGGCGGAAGAUCAAGUCAGCGGUAAAAUUGAGAGGCUCAACCUCUUCGAGCCGUUGAAACUGGUGUUCUUGAGUGAGUGAGAAGUAGGCGGAAUGCGUGGUGUAGCGGUGAAAUGCAUAGAUAUCACGCAGAACUCCGAUUGCGAAGGUAGCAUACCGGAGCUCAACUGACGCUCAUGCACGAAAGUGUGGGUAUCGAACAGGAUUAGAUACCCUAGUAGUC